Long non-coding RNA from Apis cerana (Asiatic honeybee), 597 nucleotides. RefSeq lists it as uncharacterized. Lineage: Eukaryota; Metazoa; Arthropoda; Insecta; Hymenoptera; Apidae. The record is from RefSeq and is a predicted model, not a curated record.
AUUCAUCCAAUAUGCCUGUCUGACACUGCACACUGUCAGAAUACACAGGCAGCCUUAAAAUGUUAUGCAGAAGCAUGACUUUACAGCUAUUCUAUUCUAUCAUUUUUAAAUAUACAAGAAGAAGAAUUUAGUUGUGAAUAUUAAUUUAGAUGAAAAUGAUUUAAGUAUAUCAAAAGAACAUUAAUAUCAAUGUAUCAUGUAACAAGAUGAACGAGAUAAAAUAGUAAGUAUUGGUAAGAAGAUUGAUAUGAAAUAUAUGAUAAAAAAAAUGCUUUCCAAUAAAGACUCUCCAAUAUUUUUAAUUAAUUUUAUAGUUAUUAUUGAAUUAGUUAAAUUAAUUAUUUGACUUUAUCAAUGAACUUUAUCAAUUUGAUUAUCAGCAAAUUUAAUUUCAGGACAUUUAAUUUUAACAUUAUUAGGUAUUUUUAUUAGAAAUUUUAUUGCAAUAAUUCCAAUUAAUUUAUUAAUUCAAAAUACAUUAUUAACUUUAGAAAUUUUUAUAUCAAUUAUUCAAUGAUAUGUAUUUUCAAUUUUCUUAAUUUUAUAUUUUUCAGAAUCAAAUGAAUUUUAAUUAAUAAAUAAUGAAGAAAAACUUUU